RNAcentral lists this long non-coding RNA (314 nucleotides) under Mytilus galloprovincialis (Mediterranean mussel). Lineage: Eukaryota; Metazoa; Mollusca; Bivalvia; Mytilida; Mytilidae. The record is from RNAcentral.
GAUGAGUUUAUUUACAACCACUGGGUCGAUGCCAUUGCUGGUGGAGAUUUAUUUCCCCGAGGGUAUCACAAGCCCAGUAGUCAGCACUUUUUGUGCUGACAUGAAUUGUCAUUGAUAUGGUUAUAUUUAUAAAUUUACUGUUUACAAAUUUUUGAAUUUUUUGAAAUACUAAGGCUUUUCUACCUCAGGCAUGGAUUACCUUAGCUGCAUUUGGCAAAACUUUUAGGAAUUUUGGUCCUCAAUGCUCUUCAACUUCGUACUUUAUUUGGCCUUUUUAACUUUUUUGGAUUCGAGCGUCACUGAUGAGUCUUUUG